UACGUAGGGGGCUAGCGUUGUCCGGAAUCAUUGGGCGUAAAGCGCGUGUAGGCGGUCCGGUAAGUCCGCUGUGAAAGUCGGGGGCUCAACCCUCGGAUGCCGGUGGAAACCCCUUGGCUAGAGUCCGGAAGAGGAGAGUGGAAUUCCUGGUGUAGCGGUGAAAUGCGCAGAUAUCAGGAAGAACACCAAUGGCGAAGGCAGCUCUCUGGGACGGUACUGACACUGAGACGCGAAAGCGUGGGGAGCGAACAGG
This 253-nucleotide ribosomal RNA is filed under the name uncultured bacterium. Its description in RNAcentral is "partial 16S ribosomal RNA". It matches the Rfam family "Bacterial small subunit ribosomal RNA", at positions 524 to 776 of the family's 1533-position model. The record is from RNAcentral.